Molecule: ribosomal RNA, 490 nt
Filed under: uncultured Alphaproteobacteria bacterium
Lineage: Bacteria; Pseudomonadati; Pseudomonadota; Alphaproteobacteria
Description: bacterial SSU rRNA
Rfam family: Bacterial small subunit ribosomal RNA
Source: RNAcentral
GCCCUUAGAGUUUGAUCCUGGCUCAGAACGAACGCUGGCGGCAGGCCUAACACAUGCAAGUCGAACGAUAAGUCGCGGUUCGCCGCGACCCAAAGUGGCAGACGGGUGAGGAACAUGUGGGAAUCUACCCAAAGGCGGGGAACAACCCAGAGAAAUCAGGGCUAAUACCCCAUACGCCCAAUCCUUAAUCAGAUUGGGGAAAGAUCUUUCGCCUUCGGAGGAGCCCGCACGGGAUUAGUUAGUUGGCGCGAUAGUAGCGCACCAAGACCAUGAUCCCUAGCUGGUCUGAGAGGAUGAUCAGCCACACUGGGACUGAGACACGGCCCAGACUCCUACGGGAGGCAGCAGUGGGGAAUCUUGCGCAAUGGGCGAAAGCCUGACGCAGCCAUGCCGCGUGAAGUGAAGAAGGCCCUCGGGUUGUAAAACUCUUUCGCCGGUGACGAUCGCUGGACCGUAACCUGGUAAAGAAAGCCCCGGUCCAACUUCCGUG